Molecule: ribosomal RNA, 229 nt
Filed under: uncultured bacterium
Lineage: Bacteria
Description: partial 16S ribosomal RNA
Rfam family: Bacterial small subunit ribosomal RNA
Source: RNAcentral
CGCGCAGGCGGACAAUCAAGUCAGAUGUGAAAUCUCGGGGCUCAACCCCGAAACUGCGUCUGAAACUGAUUGUCUAGAGUCUCGGAGAGGGAAGGGGAAUUUCGCAUGUAGGGGUAAAAUCCGUAGAGAUGCGAAGGAACACCGGAGGCGAAGGCGCCUUCCUGGACGAGUACUGACGCUGAGGCGCGAAAGCGUGGGGAGCAAACAGGAUUAGAUACCCUGGUAGUCC